AACGAACGCUGGCGGCAUGCCUAACACAUGCAAGUCGAACGAGACCUUCGGGUCUAGUGGCGCACGGGUGCGUAACGCGGGGGAACCUGCCCUUAGGUUCGGAAUAACUCCCCGAAAGGGGUGCUAAUACCGGUUAAUGUCUUCGGACCAAAGAUCUAUCGCCUUUGGAUGGGCCCGCGUUGGAUUAGCCAGUUGGUAGGGUAAAAGCCGACCAAGGCGACGAUCCAUAGCUGGUCUGAGAGGAUGAUCAGCCACACUGGGAAUGAGACACGGCCCAGACUCCUACGGGAGGCAGCAGUGGGGAAUAUUGGACAAGGGGCGAAAGCCUGAUCCAGCAAUGCCGCGUGAGUGAUGAAGGCCUUAGGGUUGUAAAGCUCUUUUACCCGGGAUGAUAAUGACAGUACCGGGAGAAUAAGCACCGGCUAACUCCGUG
Molecule: ribosomal RNA, 433 nt
Filed under: uncultured bacterium
Lineage: Bacteria
Description: partial 16S ribosomal RNA
Rfam family: Bacterial small subunit ribosomal RNA
Source: RNAcentral